Molecule: ribosomal RNA, 504 nt
Filed under: uncultured bacterium
Lineage: Bacteria
Description: bacterial SSU rRNA
Rfam family: Bacterial small subunit ribosomal RNA
Source: RNAcentral
ACGACGCUGGCGGCUGCCUAAUACAUGCAAGUUGAACGCAACAAAGACACCAGAGCUUGCUCUACCGUCUUUGUUGAGUAGCGAACGGGUGAGUAACGCGUGGGUAACCUGCCUUAUAGCGGGGGGAUAACUAUUGGAAACGAUAGCUAAUACCGCAUAACAAUAGAGAUUGCAUAAUCUUUAUUUGAAAGUGCCAACUGGUACACUAUGAGAUGGACCCGCGUUGUAUUAGCUAGUUGGUAGUGUAAUGGACUACCAAGGCGAUGAUACAUAGCCGACCUGAGAGGGUGAUCGGCCACAUUGGGACUGAGACACGGCCCAAACUCCUACGGGAGGCAGCAGUAGGGGAAUCUUCGGCAAUGGACGAAAGUCUGACCGAGCAACGCCGCGUGAGUGAAGAAGGUUUUCGGAUCGUAAAACUCUGUUGUUAGAGAAGAAUGUUGAUUAGAGUGGAAAAUUAAUCAAGUGACGGUAUCUAACCAGAAAGGGACGGCUAACUACGUG